AGAGUUUGAUCCUGGCUCAGAUUGAACGCUGGCGGCAGGCUUAACACAUGCAAGUCGAGCGGAAACGAGAAUAGCUUGCUAUUCGGCGUCGAGCGGCGGACGGGUGAGUAAUGCUUGGGAAUAUGCCUUUUGGUGGGGGACAACAGUUGGAAACGACUGCUAAUACCGCAUAAUGUUUACGGACCAAAGCGGGGGACUCUUCGGAGCCUCGUGCCAAAAGAUUAGCCCAAGUGAGAUUAGCUAGUUGGUGGGGUAAUGGCCUACCAAGGCGACGAUCUCUAGCUGGUUUGAGAGGAUGAUCAGCCACACUGGGACUGAGACACGGCCCAGACUCCUACGGGAGGCAGCAGUGGGGAAUAUUGCACAAUGGGGGAAACCCUGAUGCAGCCAUGCCGCGUGUGUGAAGAAGGCCUUCGGGUUGUAAAGCACUUUCAGUCGUGAGGAAAGGGGUGUAGCUAAUAUCUGCAUCCUGUGACGUUAGCGACAGAAGAAGCACCGGCUAACUCCGUGCCAGCAGCCGCGGUAAUACGGAGGGUGCGAGCGUUAAUCGGAAUUACUGGGCGUAAAGCGUGCGUAGGCGGUUUGAUAAGCCAGAUGUGAAAUCCCGGGGCUUAACCUCGGAACUGCAUUUGGAACUGUUUGACUAGAGUACUGUAGAGGGUGGUGGAAUUUCCAGUGUAGCGGUGAAAUGCGUAGAGAUUGGAAGGAACAUCAGUGGCGAAGGCGGCCACCUGGACAGAUACUGACGCUGAGGCACGAAAGCGUGGGGAGCGAACAGGAUUAGAUACCCUGGUAGUCCACGCCGUAAACGAUGUCAACUAGCUGUUUGUGUUCUUGAAACGUGAGUAGCGUAGCUAACGCGCUAAGUUGACCGCCUGGGGAGUACGGCCGCAAGGUUAAAACUCAAAUGAAUUGACGGGGGCCCGCACAAGCGGUGGAGCAUGUGGUUUAAUUCGAUGCAACGCGAAGAACCUUACCAUCCCUUGACAUCCAGAGAAUUUUCUAGAGAUAGAUUAGUGCCUUCGGGAACUCUGAGACAGGUGCUGCAUGGCUGUCGUCAGCUCGUG
This 1067-nucleotide ribosomal RNA is filed under the name uncultured bacterium. Its description in RNAcentral is "bacterial SSU rRNA". It matches the Rfam family "Bacterial small subunit ribosomal RNA", at positions 8 to 1064 of the family's 1533-position model. The record is from RNAcentral.